UACGAAGGGGGCUAGCGUUGCUCGGAAUCACUGGGCGUAAAGCGCACGUAGGCGGAUCGUUAAGUCUGGGGUGAAAUCCUGGAGCUCAACUCCAGAACUGCCUUUGAUACUGGCGACCUUGAGUUCGGGAGAGGUGAGUGGAACUGCGAGUGUAGAGGUGAAAUUCGUAGAUAUUCGCAAGAACACCAGUGGCGAAGGCGGCUCACUGGCCCGAUACUGACGCUGAGGUGCGAAAGCGUGGGGAGCAAACAGG
RNAcentral lists this ribosomal RNA (253 nucleotides) under uncultured bacterium. Its description in RNAcentral is "partial 16S ribosomal RNA". It matches the Rfam family "Bacterial small subunit ribosomal RNA", at positions 524 to 776 of the family's 1533-position model. The record is from RNAcentral.